Molecule: ribosomal RNA, 497 nt
Filed under: Bacillus thuringiensis
Lineage: Bacteria; Bacillati; Bacillota; Bacilli; Caryophanales; Bacillaceae
Description: bacterial SSU rRNA
Rfam family: Bacterial small subunit ribosomal RNA
Source: RNAcentral
GGCGGCGUGCCUAAUACAUGCAAGUCGAGCGAAUGGAUUGAGAGCUUGCUCUCAAGAAGUUAGCGGCGGACGGGUGAGUAACACGUGGGUAACCUGCCCAUAAGACUGGGAUAACUCCGGGAAACCGGGGCUAAUACCGGAUAACAUUUUGAACUGCAUGGUUCGAAAUUGAAAGGCGGCUUCGGCUGUCACUUAUGGAUGGACCCGCGUCGCAUUAGCUAGUUGGUGAGGUAACGGCUCACCAAGGCAACGAUGCGUAGCCGACCUGAGAGGGUGAUCGGCCACACUGGGACUGAGACACGGCCCAGACUCCUACGGGAGGCAGCAGUAGGGAAUCUUCCGCAAUGGACGAAAGUCUGACGGAGCAACGCCGCGUGAGUGAUGAAGGCUUUCGGGUCGUAAAACUCUGUUGUUAGGGAAGAACAAGUGCUAUUUGAAUAAGCUGGCCCCUUGACGGUACCUAACCAAGAAGCCUCGGCUAACUACGUGCCAGCACC